GUNCAAAAAUAUUAGAGAGAGCAAGUUAUGGACGUUCGAUUUUGCUUAGUGGAGCUAAAAAACAGCCAAGUUUCUUCAAAACCGCGCAAGCCACUCAUCUUCAAAACUCCGUAAAUCUUCUGAGAAACCAAGAGAGAUUUGGUUUAUUGUCUCUAUUCACUUGCUUUAACUGAUCAUAGUAAGCAUCAUUCAAUAAUUUAGAUAAGCCUACAGUUUAUUUGUUUAGAUGAGUCCGCAUCGGUUUUGUAUAUGAUCAGCAACGAGUAAAUUUCGUUAUGGUUUUUGUGUCCCGAUUUGUACUGGAAAAAAGGUGAAAUGCUGUUGCAUUCGUAAUUUGGCUGCUAGAACAAACACUUGAAAAUGGAAAUCUUCUAGUGUAUUUAGCUGCUAAGUGUUCAAUAGUUGGAAAUGUUCGGGCAUGCUACUUCGAAUUGUCAAUAGUGCUCAUAAACCUUCUUGUUUACUGUUAUAAUAAAUAGAAUGAUUUACUAGAUAUUUCUCAAAUGCAGAUUGAUCUAUAUGAAUUUAAGCCUCUAUCUUCAUUCUAGAGUCCAACUUUAGCCCCCGAUUGGCUUGGAUUUAUAAUGGCAGUUCCAUUUUUUUUUUUUUUUUUUUUUUUUUUGUUUUGAAG
RNAcentral lists this long non-coding RNA (631 nucleotides) under Olea europaea subsp. europaea. The record is from RNAcentral. Lineage: Eukaryota; Viridiplantae; Streptophyta; Magnoliopsida; Lamiales; Oleaceae.